GAAACUUGUUUCAAAACAAGUGAGACUACAAGGCUAUUAUAUACAUGUGCCAUAGUGAAGGAGAAGAAAAUGGAGGUUCUGUGCACACAAAAGAAAGACAGAAGACAAAUAAGUUUGAAAUGACAUGCGUUUUCAUUUUUAGGAAUACUUGGGGUUUGCAGUGACAGAAAAGACAUCUCGGAUGCUCAAAUUAGGUGAAACUCAUCGAAACGGUGUGCUCAAGUGCUUUACG
Molecule: long non-coding RNA, 232 nt
Organism: Labeo rohita (rohu)
Lineage: Eukaryota; Metazoa; Chordata; Actinopteri; Cypriniformes; Cyprinidae
Exons: 3
Source: RefSeq, a predicted model, not a curated record